UUCAUCAAGAUCGCUUUUUGUGCUCUAGUUGAAGCUAAUUGUUCAAAUUUCAUCUUGGAUGGUAUUUCUAUUUCAUGCGAAGGCCGCUUCGUAACUGAGUCUGGAGAGUGCCUCGAAAUGUAUCCUAAUUGCCCAUUGAAUCUCAUCCCCAAAAUACAUUAUAUCUCCCUCUGGUAUUGCGCCAUUCGUUUCAAUUCCAAGAAAAUCCGUAUUAGAGAGGCCUCAUUUCAAUUCUUCAUACCUGGGGGUGAAGUCCACAAGUGUGGAGUCCAUCUAAUGUUUGAUCAUAACUUGGAACAUGAUAAUGUUGAUGAUGAUAGCAAAAGAAUGUCAUUACCGGUGUUGGAUUAUCGUCAGGCCAUGAAGCAAGGGUUGUUCUUUACUCAGUUUCUUGUUGCUGAGGAUGAUCCUGAACAAUAUCCCCUUCAAAGAUUGAAAGAGAGGCAUGAGUUUAAAGUUGUUGAUUUAAAUUUCUCACUAUCUUUCUUGUUCACCUUAGUUAUCUGCCUGGCCGCUACUUCAGAUCAAACCAAAGCCCAACCGACACGAAUGAUCUUUACUUUGAUGCUCAUAUACGUGUGUAUGAGGCUGCUUUCCUUCAACUCUUCUCUAUCUCUUCAUGGAAUGCCCAACUAAACUUGUUUCUGUUAAUUAUUGUCUUUAUUUUUGUUUAAAUUGAGAUAUAUGAAAUUAUAAAUUACAACGCUAUUAAACUAACUCUGUUAUUGCUAGAUGUAUAUUUUUAAUAUAGAGUACAGAUUUUCCAAA
RNAcentral lists this unclassified non-coding RNA (768 nucleotides) under Hevea brasiliensis (rubber tree). Lineage: Eukaryota; Viridiplantae; Streptophyta; Magnoliopsida; Malpighiales; Euphorbiaceae. The record is from RNAcentral.